This 651-nucleotide ribosomal RNA is filed under the name Triticum aestivum (bread wheat). RNAcentral's name for it is "partial small subunit ribosomal RNA". The record is from RNAcentral. Lineage: Eukaryota; Viridiplantae; Streptophyta; Magnoliopsida; Poales; Poaceae.
AUGUCCAUCCAGAAAAAGUACUGCUCAGAGUUACUGAAAGAGUUAGAUGAUGUUGAUUCUGACACUACUAGCGAGGCUGCUGAUUCUGAAGAGGAGAUGGGCACUUUGGAUGCUUCUGUGGUCGAUGGCCUGAAACUUAUGGCCCUGGUGGAAAAACUGCCCCUUCCCAAUGAGCAACCUGCUAACAAAAACAAGUGGGGCCCAGUGAUUGCUACAAGGCCAAGUACCAGAACUCACAACAGACAAAAUAUCAUGGAGAAGGUUGCUGCCUACAAAAUGAAAAAGAACCUGGAGGUCCCCAACACUUUCAAAAGUAAGUCUUUUACUUCUGAAUCUACAUCUAGUUUAGGAGCUUAUGCUUCUGUUGUGAACAUAAAAAUUGGGGAUACUGAUAGUGAAAAAGAUCAGAUCAUUGAUGACUUGAUUAGAGGUGAAACUGAAAGGUGUUUAGUUUUUGCUUCUAAAAACCCUGAGAUAUCUUUGCCUGACAAUUUAGACACUGACAUCUAUGGGGAAAAUGAAGUUUGUACUCCUGUCAGUAGCAUUCCAGACAAAAACACGUUAGGGGGCACUGCUGAUGCUGUUUUUGACUCUGGGAAUGCAGUAAGAGGUGGACUUUUUAGUCUGACACACCCCUUUAAAAUACCAUGA